ACCAUGCAUUGUCAAUGCUCAACAAAUAGAUCGUCAUUCUACGGUACGGUAUAAAUACCACUGCUGCAUUGUAGAGCAAGUACAGUAACUGCAAGAUUGCAAUAUGAAGUUAACAGUAGUGUGCCUAAUCGUGCUAAUCGUGGUUGCCGCCUUGGUUCAGCAAUCUGAACAAUUCUUGUCUAGAAAACGCGGUAGAAGAUGCAGAUAUAAAACGACUACAACAGCAACAACAUCAAUAACAGCAGCAACGGGUAGAAGAAAACGCGAAAUUAUGGAUGCUCCAUUUUUACCAGCAUUUGAAUAACGUGUAAAAGAUGAAAAAGACCAAUUGCUGCGUAUAGAGAUAAUGUUAAAAUGUUAAAACACAAAAUGCUUCACAAGCACACCACUUGUAGUUCCACUGCACUGAAAAGAUAAAUUGACACCUAGAAUUCCUAGAAAAAGAUGUGCUCUUAAGAAUGUGGAAGAUGACGUUAUUUUGUGAAAUCAUUAAUUAUUCUCAUUAAACAACAUCGACGUGUGCUACGCAAAUAGUGAAACAAAUGCGGUACCAUGCAUUGUCAAUGCUGAACAAAUAGAUCGUCAUUCCACGGUAUGGUAUAAAUACCACUGCUGCAUUGUAGAGCAAGUACAGUAACUGCAAGAUUGCAAUAUGAAGUUAACAGUAGUGUGCCUAAUCUUGCUAGUCGUGAUUGUCGCCUUGGUUCAGGCGGAAAUUCAGGUGAAAGGUCAGGUGGAAAAUCAGGUGGAAAAUCAGAUGGAACGUCAGAAGAGACACAUUUGUAAUCGUACAAUGCGUAGAAAUAGACGUAGAGGUAGAAGAAGAAGAAGAAGAACAACAACAACAACAACAACAACAGCAGCAGCAGUACCGGAUAGAAGAAAACGCGAAAUUAUGGAUGCUCCAUUUUUACCAGCAUUUGAAUAACGUGUAAAAGAUGAAAAAGACCAAUUGCUGCGUAUAGAGAUAAUGUUAAAAUGUUAAAACACAAAAUGCUUCACAAGCACACCACUUGUAGUUCCACUGCACUGAAAAGAUAAAUUAACACCUGGAAUUCCUGGAAAAAGUAGUCUGUAAUAAAGAAAUGUUUAAAAUGCA
This is a non-coding RNA of Linepithema humile (Argentine ant), 1099 nucleotides long. Lineage: Eukaryota; Metazoa; Arthropoda; Insecta; Hymenoptera; Formicidae. The record is from RefSeq and is a predicted model, not a curated record.